This 253-nucleotide ribosomal RNA is filed under the name uncultured bacterium. Its description in RNAcentral is "partial 16S ribosomal RNA". It matches the Rfam family "Bacterial small subunit ribosomal RNA", at positions 524 to 776 of the family's 1533-position model. The record is from RNAcentral.
UACGAAGGGGGCUAGCGUUGCUCGGAAUCACUGGGCGUAAAGGGUGCGUAGGCGGGUCUUUAAGUCAGGGGUGAAAUCCUGGAGCUCAACUCCAGAACUGCCUUUGAUACUGAGGAUCUUGAGUUCGGGAGAGGUGAGUGGAACUGCGAGUGUAGAGGUGAAAUUCGUAGAUAUUCGCAAGAACACCAGUGGCGAAGGCGGCUUACUGGUCCGGUUCUGACGCUGAGGUGCGAAAGCGUGGGGAGCAAACAGG